RNAcentral lists this ribosomal RNA (457 nucleotides) under uncultured bacterium. Its description in RNAcentral is "partial 16S ribosomal RNA". It matches the Rfam family "Bacterial small subunit ribosomal RNA", at positions 338 to 795 of the family's 1533-position model. The record is from RNAcentral.
CCUACGGGAGGCUGCAGUGGGGAAUAUUGCACAAUGGGGGAAACCCUGAUGCAGCGACGCCGCGUGAGUGAAGAAGUAUUUCGGUAUGUAAAGCUCUAUCAGCAGGGAAGAAAUAAAGUCCUUCGGACUUUGGACGGUACCUGACUAAGAAGCCCCGGCUAACUACGUGCCAGCAGCCGCGGUAAUACGUAGGGGGCAAGCGUUAUCCGGAUUUACUGGAUGUAAAGGGAGCGUAGACGGCAGCGCAAGUCUGGAGUGAAAUCCCAUGGCUUAACCAUGGAACUGCUUUGGAAACUGUGCAGCUGGAGUGCAGGAGAGGUAAGCGGAAUUCCUAGUGUAGCGGUGAAAUGCGUAGAUAUUAGGAGGAACACCAGUGGCGAAGGCGGCUUACUGGACUGUAACUGACGUUGAGGCUCGAAAGCGUGGGGAGCAAACAGGAUUAGAUACCCUUGUAGUC